RNAcentral lists this ribosomal RNA (886 nucleotides) under Dirina fallax. Its description in RNAcentral is "LSU rRNA". It matches the Rfam family "Eukaryotic large subunit ribosomal RNA", at positions 40 to 943 of the family's 3401-position model. Lineage: Eukaryota; Fungi; Ascomycota; Arthoniomycetes; Arthoniales; Roccellaceae. The record is from RNAcentral.
AUAUCAAUAAGCGGAGGAAAAGAAACCAACAGGGAUUGCCCCAGUAACGGCGAGUGAAGCGGCAACAGCUCAAAUUUAAAAUCUGGCCCCCUCGGGGUUCGAGUUGUAAUUUGUAGAGGAUGCUUCGGCGUCGGCCCCGGGCUAAGUCCCCUGGAACGAGGCGCCCUAGAGGGUGAGAGCCCCGUACUCACUCGGGUGCCCUUCGCCAUGUGAAGCUCCUUCGACGAGUCGAGUUGUUUGGGAAUGCAGCUCUAAGCGGGAGGUAUAUUUCUUCUAAAGCUAAAUACCGGCCAGAGACCGAUAGCGCACAAGUAGAGUGAUCGAAAGAUGAAAAGUACUUUGGAAAGAGAGUCAAAAAGCACGUGAAAUUGUUGAAAGGGAAGCUCUUGCCGCCAGACUUGCCGCGGUUGCUCAGCCGCCCCCCGGGGCGGUGUACUCUUCCGUCGGCAGGCCAGCGUCGGUUCGGGCGACCGGAUAAAGGCCCUGGGAAUGUAGCACCCUCCGGGGUGUGUUAUAGCCCGGGGUGCAAUGCGGUCAGCCCGGUCCGAGGCACGCGUUCGCGAGGACGCUGGCGUAAUGGCUGCAAGCGACCCGUCUUGAAACACGGACCAAGGAGUCUAACAUCUGUGCGAGUGUUUGGGUCUCAAACUCAUGCGCGUAAUGAAAGUGAACGGAGGUGGGAACCCCCUCGAGGGGCGCACCAUCGACCGAUCCUGAUGUCUUCGGAUGGAUUUGAGUAAGAGCAUAGCUGUUGGGACCCGAAAGAUGGUGAACUAUUCCCGGAUAGGGUGAAGCCAGAGGAAACUCUGGUGGAGGCUCGCAGCGGUUCUGACGUGCAAAUCGAUCGUCAAAUCUAGGAAUAGGGGCGAAAGACUAAUCGAACCAU